This 440-nucleotide non-coding RNA is filed under the name Pan troglodytes (chimpanzee). The record is from RNAcentral. Lineage: Eukaryota; Metazoa; Chordata; Mammalia; Primates; Hominidae.
GCGGCCGCGGGCGACUCCUGGUACCCCCGAGGCCCCGCGAACUUACCUUCACAAAGCUGUCGGCGUCCGGGAAGCCUGGCAGCACCAUCUCUCCGUCGGAUUUGGUCGCGCUGGUCGCCGACAGGACCCUGGGCUCCCGGGUAAGCUCCUGAAGAAAGCGUCUAGCUCCAACUGUGCUUCCUCCCUCCAGUACCCUCUGAACUCCUCCAAGCAGACGUUGUUUCCUGCAGACAUCGCUGGAACCAUUCUGGUUAACACAGAGUGGGAACUCAGUACACAUUUGUGAAGUGAACUCCUGGAAGAGCUCUUGUGAGGGAGGCACCGAAUUAUCAGGCAGCUCAAGAGAUAGAUUCACUCUCCUGAAAUUAGAGAUGGGAUGCCCUUAAUACAAUUCAUUCCACCCAUUAAGUCUUCAAUAAAUGUUCAGCAUAUCCAGUUAA